Molecule: long non-coding RNA, 363 nt
Filed under: Mytilus galloprovincialis (Mediterranean mussel)
Lineage: Eukaryota; Metazoa; Mollusca; Bivalvia; Mytilida; Mytilidae
Source: RNAcentral
ACGUAAACGUAACGAUUAUCUAACUUAUGAGUUUGACUGUCUCUCUGGUAUAUUUCGCCCCUCUGACAGCAUCACCGUUUGAAAGAAUGGUUACGAAACAAAAUAAAAUGCCUUCUUAUAAGGGAAUACUCUUGGCCUUCAACAGAAAAAAACCCCAAUCGAACAGCAAUAUUCAAACAAACAAAGAGGGAAAACAAAAUCAAAGCUGAUCCACAAAAUCGUUGAAUUCCUUUAGUUUGCGUUUUUGUGAUCUAAGGGGACUUCGAUUUUUCGUGUGUUAUCUGGUACUCUCUGAUAAUUCUAUCAUAUAUAUUUACAGUUACUUCAUAAGAAUAGAAAUAAAUAUUAGUACAAAAAUGAUAC